RNAcentral lists this ribosomal RNA (486 nucleotides) under uncultured bacterium. Its description in RNAcentral is "bacterial SSU rRNA". It matches the Rfam family "Bacterial small subunit ribosomal RNA", at positions 8 to 518 of the family's 1533-position model. The record is from RNAcentral.
AGAGUUUGAUCAUGGCUCAGAACGAACGCUGGCGGCAUGGAUUAGGCAUGCAAGUCGAACGAAGUAGCAAUACUUAGUGGCGCAAGGGUGAGGAACGCGUGAGUGACCUACCCGCAAGUUUGGAACAGCUCCUGGAAACGGGAAUUAAUACCGGAUGUGAUCAAUGAGCUGCAUGGUUUAUUGAUUAAAGCAGUAAUGCGCUUGCGGAUGGGCUCGCGUCCCAUUAGCUAGUUGGUGAGGUAACGGCCCACCAAGGCCAUGAUGGGUAGCUGGUCUGAGAGGACGACCAGCCACACUGGGACUGAGAACUGCCCAGACUCCUACGGGAGGCUGCAGUCGAGAAUUUUGGGCAAUGGACGAAAGUCUGAACCCCCAGCAAUGCCGCGUGCGGGAUGAAGGUCUUCGGAUUGUAAACCGCUGUUUGGAGGGACGAAAAUUGACGGUACUUCCAGAGAAAGCCACGGCUAACUACGUGCCAGCAGCCGC